This 468-nucleotide ribosomal RNA is filed under the name uncultured bacterium. RNAcentral describes it as "partial 16S ribosomal RNA". It matches the Rfam family "Bacterial small subunit ribosomal RNA", at positions 28 to 507 of the family's 1533-position model. The record is from RNAcentral.
GACGAACGCUGGCGGCGUGCUUAACACAUGCAAGUCGAACGGAAAGGCCCUGCUUUUGUGGGGUGCUCGAGUGGCGAACGGGUGAGUAACACGUGAGUAACCUGCCCUUGACUUUGGGAUAACUUCAGGAAACUGGGGCUAAUACCGGAUAGGAGCUCCUGCUGCAUGGUGGGGGUUGGAAAGUUUCGGCGGUUGGGGAUGGACUGGCGGCUUAUCAGCUUGUUGGUGGGGUAGUGGCUUACCAAGGCUUUGACGGGUAGCCGGCCUGAGAGGGUGACCGGCCACAUUGGGACUGAGAGACGGCCCAGACUCCUACGGGAGGCAGAAGUGGGGAAUAUUGCACAGUGGGCGGGAGCCUGAGGCAGCAACGCCGCGUGCGGGAUGACGGCCUUCGGGGUGUAAACCGCUUUCGCCUGUGACGAAGCGUGAGUGACGGUAAUGGGUAAAGAAGCACCGGCUAACUACGUG